AACGAACGCUGGCGGCAGGCUUAACACAUGCAAGUCGAGCGCCCCGCAAGGGGAGCGGCAGACGGGUGAGUAACGCGUGGGAAUCUACCUAUCACUACGGAACAACUCCGGGAAACUGGAGCUAAUACCGUAUACGUCCGAGAGGAGAAAGAUUUAUCGGUGAUAGAUGAGCCCGCGUUGGAUUAGCUAGUUGGUGGGGGUAAUGGCCUACCAAGGCGACGAUCCAUAGCUGGUCUGAGAGGAUGAUCAGCCACACUGGAACUGAGACACGGCCCAGACUCCUACGGGAGGCAGCAGUGGGAAUAUGGACAAUGGGCGAAAGCCUGAUCCAGCCAUGCCGCGUGAGUGAUGAAGG
Molecule: ribosomal RNA, 355 nt
Filed under: uncultured bacterium
Lineage: Bacteria
Description: bacterial SSU rRNA
Rfam family: Bacterial small subunit ribosomal RNA
Source: RNAcentral